GACGAACGCUGGCGGCAUGCCUAACACAUGCAAGUCGAGCGAGUAGAUCCCUUCGGGGUGAAGCUAGCGGCGGACGGGUGAGUAACACGUGGGCAACCUGCCUCAUAGAGGGGAAUAGCCUUCCGAAAGGAAGAUUAAUACCGCAUAAGAUUGUAGUACCGCAUGGUAUAGCAAUUAAAGGAGCAAUCCGCUAUGAGAUGGGCCCGCGGCGCAUUAGCUAGUUGGUGAGGUACGGCUUACCACGGCGACGAUGCGGAGCCGACCUGAGAGGGUGAUCGGCCACAUUGGGACUGAGACACGGCCCAGACUCCUACGGGAGGCAGCAGUGGGGAAUAUUGCACAAUGGGGGAAACCCUGAUGCAGCAAUGCCGCGUGAGCGAUGACGGCCUUCGGGUUGUAAAGCUCUGUCUUCGGGACGAUAAUGACGGUACCCGAGGAGGAAGCCACGGCUAACUACGUGCCAGCAGCCGCAGUAA
Molecule: ribosomal RNA, 476 nt
Filed under: uncultured bacterium
Lineage: Bacteria
Description: partial 16S ribosomal RNA
Rfam family: Bacterial small subunit ribosomal RNA
Source: RNAcentral